UCCGAUAUGGUGUAGUGGCCAACAUGAUGCCCUCUCAUCUCAUUGAGACUUUAGGCAUAGCCCCGAGUUCGAUUCUCGGUUUCGGAA
Molecule: transfer RNA, 87 nt
Filed under: Colletotrichum lupini
Lineage: Eukaryota; Fungi; Ascomycota; Sordariomycetes; Glomerellales; Glomerellaceae
Rfam family: tRNA
About the family: Transfer RNA (tRNA) molecules are approximately 80 nucleotides in length. Their secondary structure includes four short double-helical elements and three loops (D, anti-codon, and T loops). Further hydrogen bonds mediate the characteristic L-shaped molecular structure. tRNAs have two regions of fundamental functional importance: the anti-codon, which is responsible for specific mRNA codon recognition, and the 3' end, to which the tRNAs corresponding amino acid is attached (by aminoacyl-tRNA synthetases). tRNAs cope with the degeneracy of the genetic code in two manners: having more than one tRNA (with a specific anti-codon) for a particular amino acid; and 'wobble' base-pairing, i.e. permitting non-standard base-pairing at the 3rd anti-codon position.
Source: Rfam by way of RNAcentral